Panicum virgatum (switchgrass) is the source of this 3767-nucleotide long non-coding RNA. RefSeq lists it as uncharacterized. The transcript has 2 exons. Lineage: Eukaryota; Viridiplantae; Streptophyta; Magnoliopsida; Poales; Poaceae. The record is from RefSeq and is a predicted model, not a curated record.
AACUCUCCAAAGUCGCCAGAGCUCAGAUCACAGUGUGACAGCUUACCCUGUAGCACACUCGAUCGCCAUCGAUCGAGGUAGCCCCUGCAGGGUGGAGACGACGGCGCCUUUCACCAGGCCAGCACGAGAGAGGGAGAGGGAUCAGAGGUGUGCGCGUGCGCCGUAGCUUGUAGCUAGGGAAGAGCUAGGGAAGCUCGGAUUGGGACAUGCUUUAGCACGCCAUUGGCUGCUUUGGGUGGUGCUGCCGGCCGGGGAGAGGGGCGGCUUUAGGGUAGCUAGCCAUUAGGCCACCACUUUAGGCGCAAUAUAAAACUAACUUGCAUCAAAAGGUUCAUCCUUUAAUCCCGCCCUUGGGAAGUAUUCUAGCUGGUGUCUUGUGCUCCAUGUCCUUUGUUCUUUCGGUCUUCCUCCUUUGUAGACCAUGGCAGGACUUUUUGGUGAGCAGGAGGGGCAAGUGGCCAUGGAGUUGUUGUGUACAUGUUCUGGAGUGUUGCGCAGACGCGCAGUAGUAGAGAGAUACGUCUUGCCCCUCUCAUCUAUAAAUCCACCUUCUGCUCUUUCUUCUACCUCCAUCCAUCACAACUUUUGCACUGUUCUUCCUCUUUUCUCUCACUAACCCUAGCUUCUAGCUCCCUCUAGUAGUCCCCUUGUCUUUGUUCCUGCUUGUGCAUGCCCACCAGAUAAAGCUCUAGUUUCAUUUGUUUCUAGCAUUAUACUGGUCUAGAUGGAAUUAAUACAUUCAUUUCUGUUCUCUUGGUCGAUCUUUCUUGCACAGUUUUGUGAAUAAUGGAUGUGAGAGAUGGUAUAUAGGUUUGAUCAAAUUGAGAUUGUGUGUGCCUGGCUCCCUGUAUGCCACACACGUAGCCCAACCCGUGGUGUGGUUGCCUGCUGUGGGUGGCGUGCAAGGGGCCAAGCAUGCAUUUUUGUUUCCAUCUUCUGUCACUUUUUAUCUCUACUAUAUAUGUUUUCAUGUGUUCUUGUUUUUAUUUUGUUUGUUCUUGCUUGCUUGUUCAUGUGCUUCUCCGAUCCAGUUCUUGGAUCCUGCCAAGUUAUUACCUAACUAGCUUGCUCCAAAAAAAAUCAGUAAGGUUAUCACUUGUGAUUUUAAUUUAGUUUGCGGUUUUGAGCGCAUGAGGUGAGUAUGUUCAUGUUUUAGUACAUAUUUAAAUUCUUGAAAACAGCCAUAAUGAAUUCUUUAUAAAAAAAGAGUCUUGAAUUCCCGGCUCGUUUGAGUACAUUGAAGGAAACAUUUUUCUUUUGAUCGAUCAUGCAACUCUUCUCAAAUGAAUACAAUGAGGAAUUAAUUAGUCUGGUCAAUAUCAUGUUUCGAUUUGAUUUGUCCUACCUACUGUUUCUUUCAUUAUGUUCGACUUCAAUACCAACUCAGAGUCUAUUUUAUUCUUGUGUGUUCCAAGGCGCACGUGCGUCUUGUGCACAGCAUUCCUAGGAUUUUUCCCAUUUUCCUUUUUUAAAAUGAAACUUUCAUGCAUGCAUUUGGCAUUUGUGCAGCAAAUGACAAAGGCAUAAGCAAGACUCGGUUCCUGCUAGUUCACAUGAAGCAAGAAAUUCGGUUAGUGGUUUCUCUCGUUUCUUUCCUCAACUGUUGUUUUCUCAUAUAAUUUGUUCUUAACAUUAUAUUUCAAAUAAUUAGUCUUUGUCUCCAGUAGGCGUAUCAUAUAUAUGCUUGCAAGUAUAAUUUUACUGCCUCCGGUCAUAUAUAGUUGACGUUUCAGACAAUCAGACAACAAAAAGUAACUAAAUGCAGAUCAAAUAAUUAGCUGUCCAAAUCGACAUCAUCUAAUUAUGACCGGAGUUUUAAAAAAGAUUUACCUGAAGGGAGUAUCUGUCAAGAACUGCUUCUAGCUAACAUAGUAAACAUUAAGAGAAGGAAUUUCCUCAGAACUUAAUUGAUCACUUUUUUUGCAAGAUAAGGUUAAUUCUGAAUAACAUAUAAUGCUUGAAGUGAUUAAAUGUAAGUUAAUUGACAGCCGGAAGCCGGAAACAAUGGGUUAUGAAGUAUUUGUCCAUCGUCAUUUCUACUACUCCCUCCGUUCCAAAUUAUAAGUCAUUACAAGAAUCUUGGAGGAUCAACAUUUUUCAAAUUUGACCAAAUUUAUACAACAAGAUAAUAACAUUUACUAUACCAAUUAAGUAUUAUUAGAUUCUUUGUUAGUUAUAUUUUCAUAGUAUACCUAUUUGAUGUCAUAAAUUUUUUUGCUUUACUCUAUAAUUUUGGUCAAACUUUGAGAUGGUUUGACUUUCCAAGAUUCUUGGAAUGACUUAUAAUUUGGAACGGAGGAAAUAGCAGGUAGAGACCGGCAGAUGUAUGCUGGCCUGUGAUGAUGUGCAUUGGUCUCAACCAUGGAGCUGUUCAAAUGAGCUGAGUGCAUCAGCGUUCAUUUUCCUAGCAGACACCGUAUCCAAGCUUAACACCCGUUGCAAGACCGCGGCCAGGACGACUCAAUCAGAUCCAAGCUGCGAGCAAACGCAUGUCAUGCUGCACUGCAUAACUAACCAACCAGUAACAGCACCAGUAGUAGUACUGCUGCAGUACAAGCAACAGCUCGCUAGGGCCCACCAGCCAGCACCACAAAUGAUCUGUUGAUGAUGAUCGACAUGGCAAUGCCAGGGCCCACCUGCGCCAUCUCACUCUCAUCAACCAUGUACGUGCUAGCUCCUGCCUCCCUGGCCAGCCAGCAGCCAUUGUUGCGCUGCAUGGAGCCAUGGACCACCCGAGCGAAGCAGUUCUUCAGUGGCAGCUUGCAGUAGCAAAGCUACUAACGCUGCAGUUCUACGAGCAAGAACGCAUGGAGGGAUUUGCCAUGAUCUGUUGGUGGCCGUGUUGGAGUCCUCGGUGAUUGGAGCGAGCACCUGGGUCCCCGUCUUGCCCAAUUGUGGCGAUGGAGACGGCAUGGCAGUUGCCUCUGCUUGGAGGAACCCAUGAACACCUGCCUAUGAGACAAUACAUCAAGGCAGCGGAGACUGUGGACCACCUGCUUCUCCAUUAUCCGUUUGCUGCUUCUUUCUGGCAACGCCUGGGAAUCCAAAUGGAGCCUGAUGCGGCCGCCUGCAAUCUCCAUCUCCCAAAGCCGAAAAACUUGCCGGCGGCUCACUUUGAUACUUUUGCCUUGCUAUGCUGCUGGCACCUUUGGAAGCGUCGCAAUGGGAUCGUCUUUCGGCAAGAGAGCUUGAACCUUCCACAAUUUUUGCAGAAUUGUAAACUUGAUGCUAGAGCGUGGAGCUGUCGCCUCCCGCGGCAGGAUAUGGGAGUUAGUGACCACUGGUGCAACGCUCUUUCUUUAGCAAUGUAAAGCUACAAAACACUUGUAAAAUUUUUCUAUCCGGCCAUCAUGGGCCAAAUAUAAUGGAAUGAUUUCAGGUGGGGAUCCCCCCCCCCCCCGCGUUGACCCUUCAAAAAAAAAAGACAAUACAUCAGUGUCCCAGUUAUCCAAAGUGAUACCUGAACCGUUGCUGAAAGUAACUGUCAGUGUCCAGGAAGCAGGAGCCAGAAAUCAGCCGGCUCUUUACCGGCCGAACAGAGGGAAAGAUGUGGAUCACAUUACCAUUACAAUUUACAAGGCAAUAGCCCAUCAAUAGUAUGCCAUGAAAUCUGUAACAGUAUACUAUAGCUGGGCCAUUAUGUAUGUGUUUAUACUGACAUGAGUUGAAAUCAUUCCAAAUUAGUUUAUCACCCAAAAACAGGUUGUACAUGUACAAUGAAAAUGUGUAAUCAAUCUAGUAUUGUACAUACAGAAGUUGUUCCCUCA